GUGACUCCACUGCCAGAAGAGCCCUCCAUCCUUUCCCUUGCUCUUAUUCCUCCACUCAACUCCAACUCAAAAAGAUCAAACCAAAAGCAAAAGAAAAAGGAAAAAAAAAAAACUCAAAGCUCAAGAACUCUUCAAAUCACUAUGAGAUCUGGUUUGAGUUCCGGAGAUCGAAAGCUUGGAUUUUGGCCGUGAGAUCUUGAGAUUUCCAAUUUUUGCUCUUCUUGGAUCUCCCGAUGGGGCUUGCAUAUGGUUUAUACUAUGGACCAGAACCUCCGCCGUGGCGCCUUCUAUCAGAUGAUUAGGGUUUCCCUUCUCUCUGAGAUAUGCCUCUGAUGCCAUCUAAUCAUGCUCCAAAUAGGUGACUUCGAGAUGUAUAUAUCAAGGGACAACUUUAAUCCAAUUGUUCUAAUCCCUGCUAUGUAUCCAAAUGGCCUGCGGAAUCAACCACCACCAAUUGCUUCAACUUAGCAAUCUUGAUUAAUGAUCAUGGAAUGAAUCAUGAAUUGAUUGGCUUCAAUAACCUUGAGCUUUUCUUCUAAUGGAUUGAUCAUCCGUUCUUUCCACACGGCACCAAAGGCAUCAAAGAGCUGCUCUAACGGUUGCAGUCGUUGGGCCUCAGUGCAGUAAUGCAACUGUCAGGACAACUCUUUGACGCCAUGCGGAAAGAACGGAUGAUCAAUCUAUUAGAAGAAUAGCUCAAGGUUAUUGAAGCCAAUCAAUUCAUGAUUUAUUCCAUCAUCAUCAAUCAAGAUUGCUAAGAUGAAGUAACUGGUUCAAGCUCUAGUGAGCUUGGUUGCUAAGUGUGAUGAUGACGGAGCUGCACAUCAUCAAGAGAAGCUCUUGGAUGAAGUGGAGUUAGGCUUUGUUUUUAGCGUUGGUUCAGUUGGAGCUGAUUGAGCUGGAGCUGGAUAUUGGAAAUCUCAUGUUCAUGGCAAAAAAAUAAACAAACAAUUAAAUAAA
Dioscorea cayenensis subsp. rotundata (Guinea yam) is the source of this 960-nucleotide long non-coding RNA. RefSeq lists it as uncharacterized. The transcript has 2 exons. NCBI's taxonomy places the organism in Eukaryota, Viridiplantae, Streptophyta, Magnoliopsida, Dioscoreales, Dioscoreaceae. The record is from RefSeq and is a predicted model, not a curated record.